UCGUUGUAGCAAUACAGUGGAAAGUUCAGUGGCGAACGGGUGCGUAACACGUGGGCAAUCUGCCUUAAAGUGUGGGAUAGCUCGGCGAAAGCCGAAUUAAUACCGCAUGUGGCUACUGGAGACAUCUUCGGGACGCUAAAGGUGGCGCAAGCUACCGCUUUUUGAGGAGCCCGCGGCCUAUCCGCUUGGUGGGGAGGAGGUAACGGCUCACCAAGGCGUUGACGGGUAGCUGGUCUGAGAGGACGACCAGCCACACUGGGACUGAGACACGGCCCAGACACCUACGGGUGGCAGCAGUCGAGAAUUUUUGACAAUGGGGGAAACCCUGAUCGAGCGACGCCGCGUGGAGGAUGAAGGUCUUCGGGUUGUAAACUCCUGUCAUUUGAGAACAAGGCGCGGCUAUUAACUGUAGUCGCGUUGAUAGUAUCAGAAGAGGAAGAGACGGCUAACUCUGUGCCAGCAGCCGCGGUAAUACAGAGGUCUCAAGCGUUGUUCGGAUUCAUUGGGCGUAAAGGGUGUGUAGGUGGCGCGCUAAGUCGGGUGUGAAAUUUCGGAGCUUAACUCCGAAACUGCAUUCGAUACUGGCGUGCUUGAGGACUGGAGAGGAGACUGGAAUUCACGGUGUAGCA
Molecule: ribosomal RNA, 629 nt
Filed under: uncultured Verrucomicrobiota bacterium
Lineage: Bacteria; Pseudomonadati; Verrucomicrobiota
Description: bacterial SSU rRNA
Rfam family: Bacterial small subunit ribosomal RNA
Source: RNAcentral